GUUCUUAAUAAUGGGUAUUUCUUCAGGACAUUGUUAACAGCCAACAGCUUCUGCAAUUUCCAGAUGCCUCAGAGGAAAUGUUUGAUUCAAUCGUUCCUUAACAGUCAGGAUGUCAGGUCCUGAUGCCCACCCAGUCAACCCAUGGAGUCCUGAUGCCCACCCAGUCAACCCAUGGAGUCCUGAUGCCCACCCAGUCAACCCAUGGAGUCCUGAUGCCCACCCAGUCAACCCAUGGAGUCCUGAUGCCCACCCAGUCAACCCAUGAAGUCCUGAUGCCCACCCAGUCAACCCAUGGAGUCCUGAUGCCCACCCAGGCAACCCAUGCUAAAAAUAUAAGCACUCAUGGUACUGUUAGUCACUU
Esox lucius (northern pike) is the source of this 361-nucleotide long non-coding RNA. The record is from Ensembl. NCBI's taxonomy places the organism in Eukaryota, Metazoa, Chordata, Actinopteri, Esociformes, Esocidae.